UUUUAGCCCCGAUAGCAGUGAAAAUCCUUUUGUGUCUCGUUUCUUUAACGAGACACAAAAGAUUGUAACGGAUAGCGGGAAACAGC
This 86-nucleotide small RNA is filed under the name Flavobacterium sp. 270. Its description in RNAcentral is "Flavo-1 RNA". It matches the Rfam family "Flavo-1 RNA". Lineage: Bacteria; Pseudomonadati; Bacteroidota; Flavobacteriia; Flavobacteriales; Flavobacteriaceae. The record is from RNAcentral.